GCUGAUGUGGGCCGAUGGCAGGCUACUGAGUUUUCAACAGUUUCUCAGGAAAGGCGGUUCGAUUCCGUCAAUCAGCA
This 77-nucleotide transfer RNA is filed under the name Limosilactobacillus reuteri. RNAcentral's name for it is "tRNA-Glu". RNAcentral also lists the same sequence under 1 other name. The record is from RNAcentral. Lineage: Bacteria; Bacillati; Bacillota; Bacilli; Lactobacillales; Lactobacillaceae.